RNAcentral lists this ribosomal RNA (576 nucleotides) under uncultured bacterium. RNAcentral describes it as "bacterial SSU rRNA". It matches the Rfam family "Bacterial small subunit ribosomal RNA", at positions 214 to 783 of the family's 1533-position model. The record is from RNAcentral.
UGCGCUAUGAGAUGAGCCUGCGUCGGAUUAGCUAGUUGGUGAGGUAACGGCUCACCAAGGCGACGAUCCGUAGCUGGUUUGAGAGAACGACCAGCCACACUGGGACUGAGACACGGUCCGGACUCCUACGGGAGGCAGCAGUGGGGAAUAUUGGACAAUGGGGGCAACCCUGAUCCAGCAAUGCCGCGUGUGUGAAGAAGGCCUUCGGGUUGUAAAGCACUUUCGGUGGGGACAAACAAGGCGGAGCUAACAUCUCCGUCCCUGAUGGUACCCAAAGAAGAAGCACCGGCUAACUCUGUGCCAGCAGCCGCGGUAAUACAGAGGGUGCAAGCGUUAAUCGGAAUUACUGGGCGUAAAGCGUGCGUAGGUGGUUUGUUAAGUCAGGUGUGAAAUCCUGGGGCUCAACCUGGGAAUUGCGCUUGAUACUGACUGACUCGAGUGUGGUAGAGGAUAGUGGAAUUCCCGGUGUAGCGGUGAAAUGCGUAGAUAUCGGGAGGAACAUCAGUGGCGAAGGCGGCUAUCUGGACUAACACUGACACUGAGGUACGAAAGCGUGGGUGGCAAACAGGAUUAGAU